UGUUUUCCAGUGAUAACGGUAAAAAUGUCGCUCUGGGUUUCCAAUUGUGCUACGAGAAGGUUCCUGACCACACUAAAGGACGUUAGCUAGCUUGGCGUCGUCUCACUGCUUAGAAACAGAGAUGGACACCAGAGAAGAACCUCAGUGUGACAGAACAUGAUGAGGCAGAGCUGAAGGUUGCCAGUAUGAUGGAUGAGGACACACCCACACAACCAUAAAACCCGGGUCUCAACAAGCCUCAGUAGGUAUGACAGUCAAAA
Molecule: long non-coding RNA, 260 nt
Organism: Thalassophryne amazonica
Lineage: Eukaryota; Metazoa; Chordata; Actinopteri; Batrachoidiformes; Batrachoididae
Exons: 3
Source: RefSeq, a predicted model, not a curated record